This is a non-coding RNA of Equus caballus (horse), 259 nucleotides long. Lineage: Eukaryota; Metazoa; Chordata; Mammalia; Perissodactyla; Equidae. The record is from RefSeq and is a predicted model, not a curated record.
UGAGACUGUGCCUGGUUUGUAUGCAAUUUUUGUAAAUAUUUCAACGGCUCUAGAAAAGUUGGUGUAGUCGUCUUUGUAAGGGUGUCGCGUCCUUUCUUAGCUCAGCCACUUCGUUUGGAUCUCAUGGUCCUCACUACUGACCUCAGGAGUUUUUUCUGCCUUCAGCCUGCUGAAUUCUCGAGUCCACUCUCAAGGAAUCAAGUCAGACAAGACAGUUUGCUGGGAACUCUCUCAGUGGGCGCCACAGGCUGCAAACGGA